RNAcentral lists this ribosomal RNA (467 nucleotides) under uncultured Methanosaeta sp. Its description in RNAcentral is "bacterial SSU rRNA". It matches the Rfam family "Archaeal small subunit ribosomal RNA", at positions 876 to 1338 of the family's 1478-position model. Lineage: Archaea; Methanobacteriati; Methanobacteriota; Methanomicrobia; Methanotrichales; Methanotrichaceae. The record is from RNAcentral.
GCACCGACGAACGGGUGGAGCGUUUGUACGGUUUAAUUGAUUCAACGACCGGAAUCGUUACCGGACCGACAGCGAUACGAAGGCCAGGCUGAAGACUUUGCCGGAUUAGCUGAGAGGUGGUGCAUGGCCGUCGUCAGUUCGUACUGUGAAGCAUCCCGUUAAGUCAGGCAACGAGCGAGACCCACGCCCACAGUUGCCAGCGUACUCUCUGGAGUGACGGGUACACUGUGGGACCGCCGCUGCUAAAGCGGAGGAAGGAAUGGGCAACGGUAGGUCAGUAUGCCCCGAAUAUCCCGGGCUACACGCGAGCUACAAUGGUUGGUACAAUGGGUAUCUACCCCGAAAGGGGACGGGAAUCUCCUAAAACCAAUCUUAGUUCGGAUUGAGGGCUGCAACUCGCCCUCAUGAAGCUGGAAUCCGUAGUAAUCGCGUUUCAACAGAACGCGGUGAAUACGUCCCUGCUCCUU